AUAUAUAUACACACACACACACACUUCUUUUCAGUGAAGGAAGCCGUCUGUUUUUAAACACUAAAAUCUUAAAUCUUUUUAAGUCGUCACUGUGAAAUCACCUGAUUUUGCCUUACAUGAGUAUUCUACUGUUCUACUUAAGUGUCUAAUGUGACAACGUAUUUUCGUAACUUAUUGUAACAUUUUCUUGUAUUUGAGAGGAACUUAACUUUUGGUCAGUGAUAUUUGUGGUUAUGUUGUGUAAGGUUUGACAAAUCAAUGUACUGUAUUUUGUAUCGGUACAGUUUAUAGCCAAAUUGUUGAUGUUUUUUAAAGUGGGGCAAAAAACGAAAACAAACUAAACAAACAAAAAAAAAAAAUCAAAGGAUGGGUUUAAAGUUUGAGAAGGAGUGCAAUUAUGGGGAGGCUUUUUGCUCUUUGACAGGGAAACUCUAACAAAAACACUACUUUGCCACAGAGGUCAUCAAAAACAAAAGUAUCAUGCAAAGUGUAGGAAUUUUAAUGGCCGAAUGGUUGUUUCAUAUGAUGCAAAUGAAGUUACUAUGAACAUGAUGUUUUUUUAUUGAAGAAUGUCGGUUUACUCCAUUUAGUAAACAGAUAAGUGGGUCUGUUUAAGAAAAGAGUGUAUUUAUGUCAUCGCUGUUGGGCACAAACCUCGUAUCUCCAUAUUGUCAUUUUUUCAUAAAUGAAUGGUAUUGGUCACCCUUUACGUCUGUCGGUGGGUUUUACAAAUCCUUAAACCGUGACCGAUUGAGGCGAUUUUUAUUUUUCACUUUGUCUUAGGUCAUAGAUACAUAUAGGUAAAUGGCUCAAUAAUAUGUUUUCAAAUUAGCCUUUUAUUCAUUUCCUGAAAAGCAAUGGUUUUGGAUAUACAAGGUUUUCGCCUGACAGCGACGAUAUUAAGUAUUGUAUGCAAUUUUCCGACUGCACUGAGAUUCGCCCCACUCCAGUGUGUAAAAACAACAAAAAACGGUCCCAAAAACAGUAGGAUGUAUUAGAGUCUUAAACUGUUUACGCCACCUUUUACAACUGAAAAAUGUUUACACAAGUUUCAUCUGAAAAUGUACUGGACAUAUUAAUAUCAUCUCUGACUGCAUCCAAUCUUCUUUGCCAAAAUGUGUCAAACAAAUUGUGUCAAAGUUCAAUCUGCCUUGGCCUUUUGUCAGAGUUUCCCUGAGAGAGGUGUGUUUAGGUCUGUGGGAUCAUGUUUGGUAUAUUGUAAUGUUCAUGUACAGACAUACUAAUCAUUUAUUCACCUAAAGCGCUGUUUCCAUCCCCUCCUCCCCCCUCCCCUCCUCCCUCCCUAUAAGGAAUCACGUUUGGUUUAAUGCACACCUCAACAGUUCUACAAUUUGUUUCAGUUGAAAUGUUUGUCUGCUGUAAUCCUCCAUCGAAGGUUUUGUUUGCCUUCAACAGAUCUGUGAUUCCUAUGCAAAUGAGAAACACACACACAAAAAAAACCCUUAAAGGAAAAAUCCGCCUCUGAUGUUUGAUUGUUUCAACAUGUUCCAGAAGUUGAGCUGGAUUUAUUCUUCUGAAAUGUUGCGGUAAUGGAGGCAGAGAGGAACUACUGAGAUAAAGAACUGUUCAUUUUCAGCUCAGGCUGUUUUCUCCUACAUGUUACUGAUGUUGGUAGAGAACGUUGAUAGUGAAGACGGCUUUGAGUAAUUUGAAGAAAGGCUCGUGAUUCUCCUUUUCAAUAACACCAGACACAUUGACAGUGUAACCUAGCAAGGCCCUUCACAGUACACAUCACAGUCCUCUCUGUCAUCAUUGCUCUGUGUUACAGAGCAGCUAAAGUCCCAAAUAGUUAGAUUUUUUAUUGUCAUUUUUUAAUUUAACUUAUUUAUUGUCUUUCUGUCAGGGCUUUGCAGGCUCCUUACUCUUUUACUUGUUAUUGCUUCGACAAAACAAGGAAUACCCAUCUCAGUUAUCUCCUUUUUAGUCAGCGGACACAUUUGUGUCCAUUUGUGAUAAUUUGAGAUCAUGCUCAACAUCGGUGCUCUGUGUUAGAAAAUGGAAGAAGAAAUUUAAACUGGAUGAGUAUGAGUAUUUCAAGUGUUGCUAUGACAAUCAACGAGUGAAAUCGUACACUGAACUAUACAUUUAUUUUAACGCCAGAGUAACAAGAAACAUAAAUCCAGCUGUACUUUGAACAUUUUUUUUUUUUUUUUUUUUCGUGAACCUCUAGUUCUUCAGUUGGUAAUUUCCUACAUUUUACCAGACUCCCCCUGAACACAUCUCUUCCUGUGGGACUGUUGAACAAAACAGCUGCUGUAUAAAGAAACCCUUUCUCUUUAAUCCCACAGAAACUGACGCCAAACCUGACUUUCUGUUGAUGUUUUAGAUCAAUGAAACAUUUCUCUGUAGUUGCUGGAAAUAUCCACACAUUUGUUAACCCACAGGAGGAAGAAAAAUAAACCACUAAAAAAUGGCCCGGAAAUGCAAAACACUUUCCCAGAAGCUAUUUUUAUUUGUUGGAUUUUUCCUUUAAGUCCCUGAAACAAAUGUAUAGAACUCAUUCUCUACAGAUUACAUGUUUCCAAAGGUGGUUUUCCUAAAACAAAAUGUGUGUGAGCCCAAACUUCACUGUUGCAUUGCCAGUGAUUUGAGCUUUUUCCUAUCACUUUAUUCCGUGUCAUCCUGCUGAAUACUAGUCAUUCACACUGACCUUGUACAUACGCUAUAGCUGAAACAAAAUGCAUGACUAAACUGACAGUCAAAACCUCUAAAUGAAGGCCUUCUAUAGCUCCGCAGGUUUGAUUUGUGUAACAUAACGCUAUCACAAAGUCUAAAGGGAUGCAUGUAUGGGUUUCUUCUGUGCGACAGUUAACUCCUGUUAAGUGACUCUGUUACCUCCAUCUGUGUAUAAUGCUACUUCACGAAUGAUAAGAGAAUGUAUUUUCUGUGGCAGUGUCCUAGUUCUAGCCUGUUUGCCAAAUGUUGGAGUUUAUUGGUCCCGUCACAGUCGGACCGGACUUGUUGUUCUCUCUGCUCUUCAGUCGCCCCCCUCUCCUCCUCUGUGGAAUCAGUCUCUCUCUCUUCCUACUGUAGCAUCUCACGCGUACGAGUGUAAACAGUCGAAUUCUCGUACAAAAAGAACCCGCAGUCGAUCCGGCCCCCUCCUCUCCGUCAACACAACCCUUUUGGCUUUUCUUAAGAAAAUGGAAGCAGGUUCUGUCUCGCAGAGAAUGCAGAUUGGCACGCGCACUGAUCGUUUGCAUAUGUGGACUUGAAUCUUCUGAAGCUUCUGCAUUACACAGUCAACUGCAUGACAUGAUAGACACAUUGAGCUGAUUCUUAUCCCAUGGUAUGUAAAGGAGUUUGAUCUAGCUAUGCUGAGUUUGUUUAAAGACAUCAGAUAUGUUUUAUGUUGUUGCCUAUCAUGUCAGGUUUUGGACUGUGUAAAGUGUAAUUAUGUUUUUUCUAUUUGUUUUUUUUUUUUUGUGUUUUUGCUUUGCUAUGUGCUAUGUUUAGUCCACUAGUUGCUUUGCAUUUUAUUUGUGAUUUCCUGGCUUUUGAGCAGGGACUGUUCUGCCCGAUGUGAAUGCCGACUGUUUCACUCCAGAUGUUUACUCCGGAGAUAUUUUCCAUGUCAAAGAAAAGAUGAAUUCUCUAUUUUCCUUUGUAAACUAUAUUUUAGCUUGUCUUGUUUUUUUUAUCUGUGAAGAUUUUAGGGGAUGCAAAACUAGAAAGGGCUUACUCCAGUGCAGCUUGCGCUCUCGUGUUGGAAAGGAACGGCACUCUGAAUGUAUUUCUUUGUUGGUCAUUUUUCCCCCAUGUGAAAAAUUGCAGUUUGAGCGAGUUACAGUUCUUAAAGAGACAAUAGAUGGUAGUUAGUUAGUCAAAAAUACUCAAAUGAAGCCGUGUGCAUCGUGACUACACAGAGUGCUGUACGGUGCUGCAACACAGUCUCACUUUGUGAAAUGAACUGCAACUCUAAAAUGUAUAUUACAUGAUUUCGACAUGAGAAAUUUGACUCCAUCAAAAAUAAAAUAUGUCAAACAACUCUUCUCCAGUACAGCAUGCUUAAUCUAACAAACAUGUCCGGCUACAGAAAACACCUACGUGCAAAACAUUUGGUAGAUGCAGCGUGUUGUACUGGAGAAGAGUUGUUGGACACGUUUUAAUUUUGAUGGACUUGCAUUGAAGCUUACACUCCUCUGGAUAUCUAGUGUGCAUACUCAAAGUAUUAGAUACCUUUUUCCCUUGUCUAACAAGGUUAGCUAACAGCAACACUAUCACUGGUAAAGAUUUGAGUUCAAGUUAGGCAGCUAAUACACCUUUGAUUCAAGUAAGGAAAUAAAAAGGCAUGUAUUUGGGGGAAAAGUUUUUUCUUUGAUCUGCAGAGUUAUGUUGAGUUAUGUAACUUUCAUGGGAAACAUUUCCUUCUGUCUGAGGCUAAACACUGAAAUACGGAAAGCAAAACUUUUCAGGUUAACGAAAGUCCAUUUUCCAAACCGAUGAGAUGAACAAAUCACCUUAAUGUAUUUUAUAAUAGUCUGGUUUUAGUCUGAGACACCAAUGACUUGCAUUACUUGUUAGCACAGCUUUUGUUUGUGUUGUGUUAAAAAGCAGUGAAGCUAAAAUCGUGUCCCAAACUGAAGAAGCAGACGAGCGAAGCUCAAACAGGAGUCCUGUGUCUAAAGGCGGUCUUUAAUGCUUGUUCCCAGAGUGUUUUAGGUCUUAAUAAAAUGUCCCUUUAAUAACACAGGGUUUUCUAAAUGACUCUACAACUGUCUCUGGAAAAACACGGUUUAGUUUCCACUUGAAGCUUAUAGUGAGAAUAGCAUAAUAUCACUGUUGUCCUGUAAGUCGUAGUAAAAGAUCUGUAGUUAUUUAUUUGUUGCCAUGUGAUUCUUCUUAUGUGACCAUUUGUUUAUAAGAUGAAAGAAAAAAUGUCAAUUAAAUUGAAUGUGGAAGACA
This is a long non-coding RNA of Sander lucioperca (pikeperch), 4926 nucleotides long. RefSeq lists it as uncharacterized. The record is from RefSeq and is a predicted model, not a curated record. Lineage: Eukaryota; Metazoa; Chordata; Actinopteri; Perciformes; Percidae. The transcript has 2 exons.